Molecule: ribosomal RNA, 492 nt
Filed under: uncultured bacterium
Lineage: Bacteria
Description: partial 16S ribosomal RNA
Rfam family: Bacterial small subunit ribosomal RNA
Source: RNAcentral
AGUGAACGCUGGCGGUAGGCCUAACACAUGCAAGUCGAACGGCAGCACAGUAAGAGCUUGCUCUUACGGGUGGCGAGUGGCGGACGGGUGGGGAAUACAUCGGAAUCUACUUUUUCGUGGGGGAUAACGUAGGGAAACUUACGCUAAUACCGCAUACGACCUACGGGUGAAAGCAGGGGAUCUUCGGCCCUUGCGCGAUUGAAUGAGCCGAUGUCGGAUUAGCUAGUUGGCGGGGUAAAGGCCCACCAAGGCGACGAUCCGUAGCUGGUCUGAGAGGAUGAUCAGCCACACUGGAACUGAGACACGGUCCAGACUCCUACGGGAGGCAGAAGUGGGGAAUAUUGGACAAUGGGCGCAAGCCUGAUCCAGCCAUACCGCGUGGGUGAAGAAGGCCUUCGGGUUGUAAAGCCCUUUUGUUGGGAAAGAAAAGCAGCAGGUUAAUACCCCGCUGUUCUGACGGUACCCAAAGAAUAAGCACCGGCUAACUUCGUG